UGUAGUAUCUCUUGUGUUUCGCGGAAUUGCCCGUACAGUUAGCAUCGAGAAUACCGUCAACAGCAUGCGUACACGCUCGUACACACAAACAUAUUCGCAAAAUCUUACGAUAAUCCGAACCGUAGUUAACAACAAAAACGGAGUAGUACGACGGAGCGGCCGUUAGAAUCGCUACGCAGUAGACACGCGAGCCACGCAGUGGGCAGGUGGUGGGGCGGGAUGCGCGCGCAGCGCCUGUACACGUAGGCGGCGUAGGUAGGUGGUAGUGGGGAUGAGCUACGCAGCACACAGUCUCACUCAGCCCCCACUGCUUGCCGCCGGUGUGUCUUUGGUGUCUCUUCUAGCAACGUUCCGACGUUCUCGAUGUUCAUCUUCGUUCGGUACGAUGUGUUAUAUGCGUGUAUGCUCUCCUGCUUUGAUGUUAACGCUCGGUGUUAACUGUAUACGCCGCGCAUUUCUGCGAAGUACGCAAGUUGUCCUUGUACUUUCCGGCAAUUCUCAAACGUUCUCGAAUGUGCGAACUGUAGGUCAGAUCGUCAUACGAUCUUUGUGUAUGCGCGACGCGAGGGGAGGAUGUAUAAAAAAUUCAGUGAUCCUACACAUAUUUUAUCUACACGUCGUGAUUAAGCAUCUCUGAUCGCUGACGAUUACCUCGCGUGAAUGUCGCAAUGAUUUUCGAUUUCCGUCGCUGGUCGCUACGCCAUUGAACGAGUGAAUCGCGCGAAGCAUGUCUCGGCAAAUGAUCCUCGUCUCGAGACUCGUAUGAGUUAAUAAAGUGGAUCGAAUCGUAGAGAAUUACAGAGAACAAUCGUGUUUCUCGCGUACCGUUUUUGUUACCUGUCGCUAUUGUUUGUCAAUCUACGCAUCGAACGAACGGGAAAGGGCACGACGAAAGAUACAUAAUGCAUAGUUAAGCAUCCAUGAUAUGCAAAAUGCAAAUCGCUAAACCAAUGAGCAUCCAGUGGCAAGUCGCCAUAUUGAUUUAGACAAGGACGCUUAUUGGUCCGGCGCUAUGAACGCUAUGAACGCUAAUGACGUAUUGUGCGUUUUGCGUAUCAUGGGUCACGGGCUUUAUGAAUUAUGGUCAUCACAUCAUUAUCCUUUCGAAGGCGAUAGCGGCUGGCGACGAUACCGCAUACGGUAUGUGAAAUGCAAUUAUUCACCACUUGAAUUUUUUACUUGGAUUACCAAAAUUUGCUCCCCUGACUUAUUUUCACACAUCGCCGCGCCGCCGCGUCGUUUACCCGUUUACGAUUAACUGCUCGCAAGCGAUGGUGAUUAUCUCUCGAAGCGGAUUUCACGCGAUUCGAUUGCAUACAUACAUAGAUCAUGGCGAUACAGGCGACGCAAAAAUUGACUGUACUCCGUUGAGACGAUACGUAGAAACAAGAUAGUCAUUUCUCGCGACGACGCGAUGCUUAGAUAAGUUACGUACUUCGGACUUUGAAUUCGUCGCGGAUUUAAUUCUGUCGGUCCGAAUUGAGAGCGUGUAGAGUGACGCCGCGCCGCGAGUCGUCGAACGGAGAACGAUUCGUGCAACGGGAAUCCAUGACGGUUACGUUGUCGAUCGUUAUAAAUUUCUGGAGUAUUCCACGAGAUUCAGCGGCGCGUGCUAUUCAUUUCGGGAAUGCCGUUUAGAAUAGUGCGCGACUUUCGCGAUGAGAUGCUUAAUUAGCCAUGAUUUCGCGACAUGCUGCGUAAUUAGCCGCGUUUUCGCGAGUGUAUGCUGUGCGCGUGUGCAACGACGAAAGCUGUGAGGAGGAGGCGGCCUGGGGAGGCAUCUGGUGACAGCGGAGCAACCCAAGGAUCGACGUGGUGAUGACAAUACAAUCCGCUGUUGCAUCGUAUCGAUAUUUUUCGAGAUGGAAGCGACGAGAAAAGGACACCACCCAUCGUCGCCGACUUGUAAUAAAGUAAACGAAUCGCAGCCGGUUCGUCGCGUCGCGCGUUUUUUUCCGGGAGUGCCGUUUAAGUAUUGGACUAAUGGACUUUUCACACCCAUUCGAUAGAAUCCUAAUUCGAGGGCCAGGAAUCGCACCCCCGCUGCUUGGCAGUGAAUAUUCUUACUGGGGCGUUGCGCAUGGUGGGCGUGCGCGCCGCACCGCGACGUUCCAUGCCGAAGUGCCCGUGCACGAGGCAAUUCCGAGCCGCUGUACGACAUGUUCGUAUGCAUGUUGCGCGGCUGUCUGGAUGUGUGAGUUUACACGCUCUGUCUCCGGCGAUCGGUUCGGUCCUAAGCGGUUAGAGUUCGGAUCGGUUGCCUUGGAUUCGCGCGUUUCUCUUGCUCUCGUCCUCCUAAAGCUUUCUUAGAUCCUUGACACCCUUUUUGGAUUCUUUGGAUCUGGGGUUCGAGCUAGGUGAAUGAUGUUUAAUCUGACUUGGUCAGAACUUGGCCUUGUAGGUUAAGCUUGUGACGAGAGGUUGGUUCUCAUUUCCUGAUUCGUCUAAAAUGCUAGACGUCGGCAAUGAGUACCUUCUUCUCUCGUCCUGCCGGAGUGUCUUGUCGACGCCGCUUGGAUAUAAGAUCCAGUGGGACUGAUCUCGAUGAUCCGUUGGCUGGGCGUAUGAACGAGUCAAUUUUAGACGUGAUUUUUGUGAGACAAGAGACAUCGGAUUUAAUGCUAUUGAUUUCGUCUUCUUCCGCGUGGGAUUUACCCUUGUUCGGGGGCGGGUACGCGUGCGUUCUACUCGCCGACUCGGGGUGCUGAAUCCACGGGAAUCCCUCUGAAUGGGAACGUAUCAUGGGUUUUAUAAACCCGAAGUGCCGCAGUGUCACGCGAAAAACUUUAUUAAUAAUUAGUCCACGCGCGUAAAUUUAUAUAUAUUAUUCGUGAGUGUUCCGCGUGUGCAACGAGAGGAAGAGGAUAACCUGGAGGACACUGAGAGGAGGAGGAGGCCUGGGAGAGGCAUCGGGCCCCAGCGGAGCAACCUUGGGUAAUCACCGUAGCUUCGUGGCUGAUCAACUCCGCUCGUUGCGCAUCGGAUCGGUGAGUCAAAAACCAAUUUUCGUAUUAUAUUUUAAAGUUUUAUAGAAAAAUUACGCCAUUAAUAUCUCAAUAUAUACAUAUAAUAUACGUAUACAUAAUCAGAAUACGCGAUCCCCGCGAUGAUUGGUUCUCUCGCUCAUGAAGUUAGCGCAGCGAGAGGACCAAUCGGCAUCGCGGAAAAGCGACAAGAAUAACUUUGAGAAAUCGAGUAUCGAUGCAGUGAACUUUUGUUUUAGAUAGGAUUCCCUGUUGCGUUUAAUUUUCGACUCGUCCACAAAUUAUUGCGCGAUAACUGUGUUAUUUUUUUUACUGGAUGUACAACGCUUAGACAGUUUCGAAAUUAUUACUUCUAAUCAGGGAUUCGCCGCGCGAAUGGCAAAUAAAAGCGACGGUGUAACGCACACAUUAAAUCAGCCAGAGUUACCCCUCAACCCCUCGAGUUGUAACCGGUCUACUACCAUAAAAAAUUUAAUCAAAAUGCCCUCUUGGUAAUUUACAACUCGCCCAGCGCUCAACCCUUGCCAGGCAAGGUGACUCUCCGGCCAGUGGGUGGGUGGAGAGGCGACCUCGCUUGCUUAAGUAAGCCGAGUUGAAGUAGGGGUUGCAAGACGAUAGAGAGGAAACAACCGAAAGUAAGAAGGGACGAAUAAACCCCGUAGGAGUCAUAGAGCGGCAGUAAGAUGCGGUCCAUUUGCUCGUUCGAGGCUCUUUUCCGUAAAAAAUAAUUCAGUCCUCGCUCGUUUGUCGUUUGCUGCCUGUCGUUUAGGGCUUGAAAUGGCCAACAAUGGAAAAUUCGAGUUUGUCAGUUGGACAAGUGCCGUUGUUGCGAAUCGUAGUAUAAAGCGUAACAGUGGAAAAGAGAAAAUAAAAUAUUUGUAUAUUAUCCCCUUUAUCAAAUUAUAUUUAUAUAAAUAUAAUUUUGCCUUUUAUUUUAUGCAUUAUUAAAUCAUUAUUCCAAACAAGAAUGUGAUUCAUUCGCAGAGCUUCGUGAUUACGUUCUGUCAAUCAACUUAAUUUUCUAUCGUCGCGAUGUUGUGUUAGACCGUGUGAUAAUCGAAUUCGUUAUAUUCGCGCGCGCGACAUUCGUUCGUAGAGAGAGGCGACGAUAAUAAUUUACUUGCAACUUGGACUUAUUGUUGUCGGCAGAGGGAAGGGAGAGGAAGACCCAACGUCGGACCAUUAAGUAGAUUCUCUCUCCUUAAGCAGAAAAAUUGUUCCGCGCUGGCCUACCACACGUGGGUACAGGUGUGAGUCGUAAUAACAUAGUGGAUGUGCCCUUUAACCCCUAAUAUCCCUACCUUCGCGCUGACUUCACUAAGGCCGCCGCAAACGGACGUAGGAACACGGCAAUCAUCGUACCUCUGUAUCAAUUGCAGGCGCAUUAUUAUUGCGGAUAUACUUGGCGGUAUCAUUGAACUUUCGGCAGUAUACCGCGAUCGGGAACGCUGUCAUUGGCGACAUACAUUAUGUCCGAAACAUUAUGAUACGAAAUAUGCGCUUCUCUUACCGUACAAUAGGAAUUAUUUUCAAGGAUUUUCACACGGGAAUAAAGGCGUGGAAUAUACAUAUAAAAAACAUUAUUCUGAACAAGAAUCCAAAAUUUAUUUGAAAUAUUUAAAAUGUAGUAUAAUACUUUAGUAUACUAUAAUACUUCGAGUCGUGAAAAAAGUAUUAUGAAUAACGUUCGGACGUUACUUUACAACUGUAUAGUGAUUCGUUUUGAUACAGUAAAGUGCAAUGAAAAUCUGAAAGUCGCUGCACCGCAAGGUAAUCGCACGGUGAGUUGAGCAAACCAAUUUGGCGAUUGUAUCGAGAUAUAUAAAUGUAGCAACGUCUAUAACUGAAGGAAAAACGAUUUGAAUCUUUAGUAAUUAUAAAGUAACGCUAUAUCAAUGCGCUUCACUUUUGAGUGAGCAAAAAUAUUCGAAAGAAUGCUGAAACUGAAAAUUUUUCAUUUGAAAAGUUUAAAAAAAAA
Solenopsis invicta (red fire ant) is the source of this 4962-nucleotide long non-coding RNA. RefSeq lists it as uncharacterized. NCBI's taxonomy places the organism in Eukaryota, Metazoa, Arthropoda, Insecta, Hymenoptera, Formicidae. The record is from RefSeq and is a predicted model, not a curated record. The transcript has 4 exons.